UUCCUUUAGUGUAAUAUUAAAGGUAAAUUUUGCCCUAUGAUUAAAAAUUAAAUGGCUGCAGUAUUUUGACUGUGCAAAGGUAGCAUAAUCAUUAGUCAUUUAAUUGUUGGCUUGUAUGAAUGGAUAUAUGAAAGUUUAAUUUUUUUUAUUUUAUUAUUAAAAUUUUAUUUUUAAGUUAAAAAGCUUAAUUAUUUUUUUGGGACGAUAAGACCCUAUAGAACUUUAUUAUAUUAAAAUUUAAAUUUUUAUAGUUAAUUGCAUUUAUUUAAUUUUUUAAUAUUUUUUUAUUGGGGUGAUAAAUAAAUAUUUAACUUUAUUUUUUUUUUUCAUUAAUUUAUGAUUAUUUUGAUCCAAUGUUUAGAUUAAAAGAUUAAGUUACCUUAGGGAUAACAGCGUAAUUUUAAUGGGGAGUUCAUAUUUAUAUUAAAGUUUGCGACCUCGAUGUUGAAUUAAGAUAAGUUUGAGGGGUAGAUUUUUCGUUACUAAGUCUGUUCGACUUUUAAAUUCUU
Molecule: ribosomal RNA, 509 nt
Filed under: Atkinsoniella sulphurata
Lineage: Eukaryota; Metazoa; Arthropoda; Insecta; Hemiptera; Cicadellidae
Description: partial 16S ribosomal RNA
Rfam family: Bacterial large subunit ribosomal RNA (bases 386-509)
Source: RNAcentral